RNAcentral lists this transfer RNA (73 nucleotides) under Sphingomonas jatrophae. It matches the Rfam family "tRNA". From Rfam's summary of the family: Transfer RNA (tRNA) molecules are approximately 80 nucleotides in length. Their secondary structure includes four short double-helical elements and three loops (D, anti-codon, and T loops). Further hydrogen bonds mediate the characteristic L-shaped molecular structure. tRNAs have two regions of fundamental functional importance: the anti-codon, which is responsible for specific mRNA codon recognition, and the 3' end, to which the tRNAs corresponding amino acid is attached (by aminoacyl-tRNA synthetases). tRNAs cope with the degeneracy of the genetic code in two manners: having more than one tRNA (with a specific anti-codon) for a particular amino acid; and 'wobble' base-pairing, i.e. permitting non-standard base-pairing at the 3rd anti-codon position. Lineage: Bacteria; Pseudomonadati; Pseudomonadota; Alphaproteobacteria; Sphingomonadales; Sphingomonadaceae. The record is from Rfam by way of RNAcentral.
GCCGGCCUAGCUCAGCUGGUAGAGCAUCCGCCUUGUAAGCGGGAGGUCGUCGGUUCGAGUCCGACGGCCGGCA